RNAcentral lists this ribosomal RNA (1982 nucleotides) under human gut metagenome. RNAcentral describes it as "bacterial LSU rRNA". It matches the Rfam family "Bacterial large subunit ribosomal RNA", at positions 3 to 2082 of the family's 2925-position model. The record is from RNAcentral.
UCAAGCUAAAAAGGGCGCAAGGUGAAUGCCUUGGCACUGGGAGCCGAUGAAAGACGUGGUAAGCUGCGAAAAGCUUCGGGGAGGAGCAAACAUCCAUUGAUCCGGAGAUAUCUGAAUGGGGCAACCCAAUGGAGUUCAUACUCCAUUAUCCAAUACUGAAUCCAUAGGUAUUGGAAGGGAACCGCCUGAACUGAAACAUCUAAGUAGGGCGAGGAAGAGACAUCAAACGAGAUUCCGUAAGUAGUGGCGAGCGAACGCGGAAGAGGGCAAACCGAGAGUAGAAAUACUUUCGGGGUACGGACUGCUUUUAAGACUCAAUCUGUUAACCGAACGGCAUGGGAAGGCCGGUCAGAGAGUGUGAGAACCACGUAGGUGAAAACGAUAAGAGCCGAGCAAGUUCCAGAGUACGGCCAGACACGUGAAACCUGGUCGGAAGAUGGGGGGACCACCCUCCAACCCUAAAUACUACCCAGUGACCGAUAGCGUAUAGUACUGUGAAGGAAAGGUGAAAAGGACCCCGGGAGGGGAGUGAAAGAGAACCUGAAACCUUGUGCCUACAAGCACAUAGAGCACAUCAACGUGUGAUAUGGUACUUUUUGUAGAACGGUCCGGCGAGCGAUUGUAUGUUGCGAGCUUAAGGUCUUAAGGACUGGAGGCGUAGCGAGAGCGAGUCUGAAUAGGGCGUUCAGUAACAUGCAAUGGGCCCGAAACCGGGUGACCUACCCAUGAUCAGGCUGAAGUGAAAGUAAAAUUUCAUGGAGGGCCGAACCGACCUCCGUUGAAAAGGCGGCGGAUGAAUUGUGGGUAGCGGAGAAAUUCCAAUCGAACUCGGAGAUAGCUGGUUCUCCCCGAAAUAGCUUUAGGGCUAGCCUCAUAUUAGAUACCCGGAGGUAAAGCACUGAAUGGCCUAGCGCCCGAGAGGGUAGCGAAGCCUAUCAAACUAAGAAUGCCGGAGUAUUGAUGUAUGGGAGUCAGACAGUGUGAGAUAAAUCUCAUUGUCAAAAGGGAAACAGCCCAGAUCUACAGCUAAGGUCCCAAAUUGUAUCUAAGUGGAAAACGAUGUGGAAAUACGCAGACAACCAGGAUGUUGGCUUAGAAGCAGCCACUCAUUUAAAGAGUGCGUAAUAGCUCACUGGUCGAGCGUCUCUGCGCGGAAAAUUUAACGGGGCUAAGAUACAAACCGAAGCUUAGGCUGCAUCGUAAGAUGCGGGGUAGGGGAGCGUUGUGUAAGCGGAGAAACAGUAGCGUAAGCGGCUGUGGAGUUUACAGAAGUGAGAAUGCCGGAAUGAGUAGCGCGAAUGUGGUGAGAAUCCACAUGGCCGGAAACCUCAGGUUUUUGGAGGAAGGUUCGUCCGCUCCAAGUUAGGCGGGAGCUAAGGUGAGGCCGAAAGGCGUAGCCGAUGCACAGACGGUAGAGAUUCCGUCACCACCAAAAGAGUUAAGCACAGGGACACAUAUGAAGUCUCAGAGCCGGGUGUUGGUUCCGGUAGAGAUCGAGGGAAAUUAGUACCGAAGUCUGAGAUGGAAGAUGGCGAGAAAAGCUGUGUGUAUUUCUGAGGUGCCCGUACCGCAAACCGACACAGGUAGGUAGGAAGAAGAUUCUAAGGCCAACGGGAGAAGGGUUGUUAAGGAACUCGGCAAAUUGACCCCGUAACUUCGGGAGAAGGGGUGCUCCAGAGAUGGAGCCGCAGAGAAUCGGCCCAAGCAACUGUUUACCAAAAACACAGGUUUGUGCUAAAUCGAAAGAUGACGUAUACGAGCUGACGCCUGCCCGGUGCUGGAAGGUUAAAAGGAGAUGUGCAAGCAUUGAAUUGAAGCCCCAGUGAACGGCGGCCGUAACUAUAACGGUCCUAAGGUAGCGAAAUUCCUUGUCAGGUAAGUUCUGACCCGCAUGAAAGGCGUAAUGAUUUGGGCACUGUCUCAACAGCCCGCCCGGCGAAAUUGUAGUACCGGUGAAGAUGCCGGUUACCCGCGACAAGACG